RNAcentral lists this non-coding RNA (170 nucleotides) under Halobacillus karajensis. Its description in RNAcentral is "GlcN6P sequence". It matches the Rfam family "glmS glucosamine-6-phosphate activated ribozyme aptamer". Rfam says of the family: This entry contains a glucosamine-6-phosphate activated ribozyme that is found in the mRNA for GlmS. GlmS is an enzyme that uses fructose-6-phosphate and glutamine to generate glucosamine-6-phosphate. The ribozyme catalyses self cleavage of the glmS mRNA that is thought to regulate GlmS activity. Lineage: Bacteria; Bacillati; Bacillota; Bacilli; Caryophanales; Bacillaceae. The record is from Rfam by way of RNAcentral.
CAUUAUUAUAAAGCGCCAGGACUGUGUAGGCGGACGCAAGCUGCACAGUUGACGAGGUGGAGGUUCAUCGAGUUUUCGGCGGAUGCCUCCCGGUUGCUGCACUUCAACCGAAUGUCCCAAUGUAAAACAGAAAGGCGACUUUCUGAACAAAACAUUAAGGACGAAGUGAC